AUAUCCCCUCACACACGAAACUUUCCAAUGGAUUCUUCACACCUAGUUUAUCCAAAGCCAACCCAUCCUUCAAAUCACAGCUAAACAAGUAAAAUCCAUGGAAGCUGAAGAGUCACAGAUUACUGGAAACACAGAAUGUAGGGCUUGAAGGAAUUAUAAAAACAACCUCAACCCCAAUCCCACAGAAGAAAUGCAGGUUACAACAAUUCAAAUACUUCCUCCUCUAAAAUAAGACAUCUGAAGACACAGAACUGCUAUACAAGACAGAUGUGCUGAACACUGUAAGCCUGUGUCAAAGCAUCUAGAAAUGCAGUGUCACUCCAGUGUGGGGUAACAGAAGAAGUGAGAGGAAAGAACAGAGAGGAUAGCAUCGAAAGUUUAGCACAUAACCUGAAAAUUGCCAAGAAUUGACCCAAAGUCCUUACUA
Prionailurus viverrinus (fishing cat) is the source of this 427-nucleotide long non-coding RNA. RefSeq lists it as uncharacterized. The record is from RefSeq and is a predicted model, not a curated record. The transcript is spliced from 3 exons. Lineage: Eukaryota; Metazoa; Chordata; Mammalia; Carnivora; Felidae.